GAGGUGGCAAAGUUUUGUUUUCAAAAGUUCUUUUAUCUAACUAUUGGUGGACGAAAUUAGAGAGAAACUGAUUGAUUGGAACGGGAAUAACAUCGGUAACUAGCGGACAAGAGGCAUUCACAUGCAAGCUCUGCAUAAAAUCAAUAAUAAUGUGUGUUUGGUUCGAAAUACAGUAUUUUAUACUAGAUCAUUGAUUGUGAUGACAAUUGAGACAUCAAACAAACGAAAAUGAUUUCUAACGAACUUAACUAACAAUAGUAAUUAACGCGGUUAAACCUUAAAAAGUUACUUCAUGCUAUGGGAAUAUGCGAACCUCAGUCCUCAAUAUCAUUAUCAUAGAUUGUUCUUAUUAUUAUUUUUGAUCAAACAUAGAUUGUUCUCAUAUUAGGAUUUCUAAAUGCUCAGUGGGAAAACAAACUUUAGGCCUAAUAUUGCUGUUAUGGUUGGCUAAGCAGUAACCACAGAACUAUCUAUCAAAUUAGGGGUAAAGCAUGAGUUUGAGACAUGAAUCGGGUUCGUGUCA
RNAcentral lists this long non-coding RNA (523 nucleotides) under Brassica napus (rape). RNAcentral's name for it is "long non-coding RNA (BNAP_LNC005409)". Lineage: Eukaryota; Viridiplantae; Streptophyta; Magnoliopsida; Brassicales; Brassicaceae. The record is from RNAcentral.